CGGGGCCCCAUUGCUUUUACACAUGCAAGUCGAACGGUCCUUUCGGGGAUAGUGGCGGACGGGUGAGUAACGCGUGAGAAUCUGCCUUUAGGACGGGGACAACAGUUGGAAACGGCUGCUAAAACCCGAUGUGCCCUUCGGGGUGAAAUAUUUAUAGCCUGAAGAUGAGCUCGCGUCUGAUUAGCUAGUAGGUGAGGUAAAGGCUCACCUAGGCGACGAUCAGUAACUGGUCUGAGAGGAUGACCAGUCACACUGGGACUGAGACACGGCCCAGACUCCUACGGGAGGCAGCAGUGGGGAAUUUUCCGCAAUGGGCGCAAGCCUGACGGAGCAAUACCGCGUGAGGGAGGAAGGCUCUUGGGUCGUAAACCUCUUUUAUCAGGGAAGAACACAAUGACGGUACCUGAUGAAUCAGCAUCGGCUAACUCUGUGCCAGCAGCCGCGGUAAUACAGAGGAUGCAAGCGUUAUCCGGAAUUAUUGGGCGUAAAGCGUCCGCAGGUGGUUUUGAAAGUUUGCUGUCAAAGCGCGAGGCUCAACUUCGUACCGGCGGUGAAAACUUCAAGACUAGAGCUAGGUAGGGGUCACGGGAAUUCCCAGUGUAGCGGUGAAAUGCGUAGAUAUUGGGAAGAACACCAGCGGCGAAAGCGCGUGACUGGGCCUGAGCUGACACUCAUGGACGAAAGCUAGGGGAGCGAAAGGGAUUAGAUACCCCUGUAGUCCUAGCCGUAAACGAUGACAACUAGGUGUUGCCCGUAUCGACCCGGGCAGUGCCGUAGCCAACGCGUUAAGUUGUCCGCCUGGGGAGUACGCACGCAAGUGUGAAACUCAAAGGAAUUGACGGGGGCCCGCACAAGCGGUGGAGUAUGUGGUUUAAUUCGAUGCAACGCGAAGAACCUUACCAAGGCUUGACAUGUCGCGAACCUUCUUGAAAGGGAAGGGUGCCUUCC
This 948-nucleotide ribosomal RNA is filed under the name uncultured bacterium. RNAcentral describes it as "bacterial SSU rRNA". It matches the Rfam family "Bacterial small subunit ribosomal RNA", at positions 36 to 1022 of the family's 1533-position model. The record is from RNAcentral.